RNAcentral lists this long non-coding RNA (2232 nucleotides) under Olea europaea subsp. europaea. Lineage: Eukaryota; Viridiplantae; Streptophyta; Magnoliopsida; Lamiales; Oleaceae. The record is from RNAcentral.
CUUUAAUAUUGAAUGGGUAAAUUGUCUUGCGGCUUCCCAGAUUUUCUUUAGUCAAUUUACAAGAUUUCAACAUGAGAAUAAUGAGUGGUUUAGGUGUCAAAAUACUCAAUAAUAAUACUUAACCAUUAGAAUUUUUUGCAAAUAUAAAAGACAAUAAAAGGCUAAUAUUAUCUACAUUAUAAUGUUAUACCCGAGGUCCCUUAAUCAAUAAAACAUACAAAACGAGGAAUCGGAAAAGGGAAACGACAAUCAUGGGCGGACCUAGGGGGGGGUUUAGAGGGGCAAUUGACCCCCUAGAUUUUGGGGAAAAAAAAAUUAUUGCUUAGCUUUUUUUUUUUUUUUUUACCUUAGUUUUUUUUUUAGAAGAUACCCUAUAAAUUUUAUUUUUGCCCUCCUAAGCCAAGUCGUCUGGGUCCGCCCCUGACGACAAUACCUAAUGAUGCCGCCACUAACUAUUCCACAAACAGAAUCAUCCCAAUUAAUUAGUAAAAAAUUGCUUUCUUUUAAGCUGAGCCAUAGAUAGAAUAAUUACUAAAUUCAGUAACACUAAACUGUAAGCAAAAUUUGAAAAGGAAGGGAGAAAAAUCCAAACCUCGCUUGUAGAAUGACCUUAAUAGCAACCUUCGGUCCUAUAAGUUUCCUCUUCUUAAACUUGGUCCGGUAAGUAAACCAAAAAAAAAAAAAAAAAAAAAAAAAAGCACGUUCCAAAUCCUUCUCACUUGAUGCAACACUAAUUAGAUUAUCCUUAUUUCUUUUCUCUACAACUUCAGCGUCAUCAUCUUCGAUGUGUAAUGAAACAUAUUUCUCUGUAUUUGGAAAAAAAAAAACGCAAUUUAUUACAAGAAAGUAACAUUGCUCAUCAAUCAAAUAUAUAAACAUAAUAUGGAAAUUAACUAAAUGUCUAAAAACUCCUAAUUUUUUUUUUGCAGAUUCAUAUAUAAAACAAUGUCUAUAGCAAAAAGUUUAAACAAUCGUGAUGUUCAAGCUUUAAUAAGCUCCAAGUGUAAAACUUCUUGACCUGGGAAAACAACGAACAGAUAUUGCUAGGAUUUAAUAAAUGGUUUUACCCAUUCAUGGCAAGUAUACCCAAAAUGAACUCUACCCACUUCUUUUCCCAACUUGUACUCAUUAGAAAAUUUUUUCGAAGCACUAUCCAAAAGCACAUACCUUUUGAUGUGAUGAAAGUGAAAUUACUCAUUCAUAAAGAGAAAUCCAGGUUAGAGAAGAAAAAAUGAAGUUGCAAUUGCAUAUUCAGUAAUAGCUUUUUAGAUGCAUACCUUUAGUUUUGUCUAUGGAACCCCCAAACGGGAUGCCUUCCAAUUGGUCCUGCUUGUAGUUAUUUUUGAGGUUUCCUCGUUUUCAUUUCAGGAUCCAGCAUAUAACUAAAGUAACAAAAAUCAGAUAAAAACCUUAACGUAACCAGGUUUGGGUUUGGUGUUUUUAGUCUACUUUGUUAAGCAUUUACAUUUGCAAAAUAAGCCCCUUUUUUAUGCAGUGUGAACAAGGAAAUAGAGUACAUACAUGCUGAGACCAACUUCUGUGACUUUUUUUAUUGGGAUCUCAAAUUGAAGCAGUUGCAGCUACGUUGUGGCAUACCAUAUGCAUGGUUGUGUCUAUGCUUUUGGUGGAAAUCAGUUUGCGCAGUUGGGUUCAGUAACAAAUUCUGAUCAAUGCGAGGUAUAUUCUCUGCUUAUUGUUUCCAUUUCUUCAAAUUAUUUUAAAAAUUUUCACCUCUUUUUAUGCUGUAAACAAUAGACAUUUUAAAUUACCAUGAGCCAUGAAACUCCCAGUGUUUCUCCUCAUGCAGGCAGCUGUUAAAGAAUCUUGUAGCAGUCCUCAACAAAAGAAUCAUAGGUAAAAUUUGUGGAUUCGAUCCUAUUCUUGGAUAAUGCAAUUAAUUAGUUAUUACUGCACUCAACAUAUGAUAGAUCUCAUUGUCUAUACACAUGUGAGACCUUGAGCUUUCAUUUAACCAUGAACAAUUGUCAUUGAUCUGGAAGACUUACUGGAAAUGGAAUAGAAUCCAAGUUGAAAUGUUAGUUCACUCUCAUAAUGUAUAACCUAGAAAACCACAAAGCACAUUUUUUGCCAAACACAAUCAAAUGUGAUAUUGUAGUCUUUCAUGUGAUCCCUUGCUCUUUCUUAUUUUGUUCUCCUUUUUCAUUAUUCAUUGCUUUCCUUUAUGUUUUCCACUAUGACAUUAGUCAGAACCAAAUAGUUUAAAUUUAAUUG